Long non-coding RNA from Aethalodelphis obliquidens (Pacific white-sided dolphin), 2852 nucleotides. RefSeq lists it as uncharacterized. The transcript has 3 exons. The record is from RefSeq and is a predicted model, not a curated record. Lineage: Eukaryota; Metazoa; Chordata; Mammalia; Artiodactyla; Delphinidae.
UCCGCAGCAUGUGGGAUCUUCCCAGACCAGGGCUUGAACCUGUGUCCCCUGCAUUGGCAGGAGGAUUCUUCACUACUGCGCCACCAGGGAAGCCCCCUUUGUACUUGUUGAAUAGGAAGCUCUUUCUAGUCUGUCUUCUAACUAGUUUCACAACGAACCAUAGAAGUACUUUUAAAGGUUUUUUUUUUUAAUGUAACUCAUGAUGAAUGCAAAUUGUGAAAAGUUCAGAUCUUUCUAAAUUGUAAAUUUAAAUGUCUACCAGAACAGUAGUAAUGAUGGUGAAAUGUAAACUAUUCAAUGUCAGUUUUUUUCUAUAUAUCAUCUCCCUUUAUAUUCAAAGAUGACACUUCUGAGUUAGAAAAGACAAUCUGAGUCUUUUACCUUUUGCAGUUCAGCCAUUAACAAACCUCAAAACCUUUCAAUUUUCUGCCAGUUAAACUUGAAAUUGGCCUGAAACCUUUGCUUAAAAUGAAUUACCCCUAUUUUAUUCAGGAUUUUUGCCUGUUGCAACUGAUUUUCCUUUGUCCACAGCUAUUCUACAUAAUGUUAUGUAAUGUUUUUUUUGCAUCCUUAACACUUUUCUUCCACCUUCCCUGCUUGUAGUUUGUGCUUUCUACAUUUUGGGGUUCCUUUGGAAUCCAUUCUCUGCAUCUGUUCAUGCAUAGAUUUAUUUGCCACGGUCCAGGACCUUAUUGCAAGUGGUUCUGUUCCCCAAUUUGCUGAUGUUCACAGAGGCAGGUAAGUGACAUAGCUGGGCCCACAUAUAAGCAGCGUCAGGUCGUAGAGUCAUAUAGGACCACUGCACUAACAACUCUGAUAGGUUCUGGAGCUUGAUAGCUCUAAGUGCAAAGGAGCUAGAAAUGUGGAAUUAAAUUCCCUGGAUCAGCAUCCAUUACAGGAAGGAAUGAGAUGUUUGAGUUCUUUUCUAUUUUCUCUUCCUAGAAAUAGUGUGUGUUUUUGGUCUUGCUUACUUUAAUAUUCCAGAAAAUUUUAUUCCUCUUUUAAAAUAAACAGGUGGAAUGCCCCUGAUGACAUUCACUCAGAAAGUGCCUUGCUCUCCUUUCAGGGAAAUUGAAUUUUACAAAUUAAUUCUGGACGUUUCCCCUCCAAUUGAUUUCUUUCUGUACCAUUAAAUGACCAUUUGUAUUCUCCUUUUCUGGGUAUCGUAUUUGUACUUAAACCUACAUUGGUCACUGUUGAGUUGUGUUUGAGCAGUGUUUGUUACGUUAAAAAGGACUUGGGGCUUGGGAGAACUCAUCCUGUGUCUAGAUUGACAUCUAGAACUCUAGGGGUUCCUGUUCCUCUGGGCUAGUGUUUACCUUUUCCAAUCAAAUACUGACUUCUGAACUAAUCCCAAGGGCUUUUUCCUGACACUGUGGACUGGGAGCAGAAAUGCUGCCUUAGUAAGAGAGGUCCAGGAAGCAGUAAGCUUCAUCUUUCCUCAGCCUGCCUGGCCUUUGGUGAGUUUGGGAGUGUUGACAGAGUUCUGAGCCUUCCUGGCAGAGAAGGAAGGUCAGAAAGAGAGAAGUCCAAGGGCAGGGGGCCAGGUCCUUAUUUGCCUCGUUAGGGAGAAUUCAGUGUUGUCUGUCUGGUUGGCAGGGCAUACCUUAUCACAGAGACUCAGCAUUUCAGCAGUUUGCAAAGGAAAGUGAUAUGAAGGGACAGCUGCAAAUCAGCCACAACGUAGAUCUGAGGAGAUCAAGCAUUUACUUCACUUGGAAGAAAGAGAGAAGGAAGGAAGCUGAGGGCUUAGCAGGGAUCCCCAAUGAUGAGCUUCACUCACCCUUCUCUUCCCUACUCCCUAAAGACAUUUUUUGUGUGCUGGUGAACUUGAGAAAAUUAGAUGGGCUUCACUGGUCUGGAGAUGGUGAGAAGAUGACUAUGAUUUAGGUGAAAUUUGAGGCUGUUGGUGGUAAGGAGGGGUGAAUAUGGGAGACCUAGGUGUGGGGAUAAGCUAGCUAAUAUUUUAGAGAAUUUAGAGAUGAAGGAUAAGAGUUUUUGUAGGCCAUCCAGUUCAUGUCUCCUCUCCAGUCCUUGGUGUUGGUGUUCUCUCUCUUAUAUACUGGGAAUAAAUUAGACCCCAAGUCACUGCCUUUGUUUCUCUCAGGUCAACUCCCCACCCCCAAACUUGGAGGAUACUAGGCCUCAUUGCAGGAAAGUUAGAACUAGGGGGGCUGGGUACACAAACUCAGACAUGAGCCUGAUGAUAUAUACAGAUGCAAAUGCAAAGACCUGGCUCCUCAUUCCCACCUUCUUACCUUCCUGCCAGAAAAUUAUCCAUUUGUAUCAGGAACCCACUGUAGACACAGAGGAAAAUAUGGCAUCAGGGGUUUCACCAACUUCAUGCCUCACCAAGCUGUGUGAUCGAUCCCUUGACUUCCAGCCAGUUCAUCCAGUCUUCCAGUGGACUUAAUCUUCCAUUGGAGGAAGAUCGCUCAUUGGAAAGUAUAGUCCCUUUUGUUUACUUAACCCUCGUGGAAGGAAUGGGAAAAGACAGGCCAGGGAAGGAGGACACCACAAGAGUUCUCUCUAGGUAGUGAGUGGGUGUGGGUUUAGUUCUACUUCAGAACUCACCUUUUUAGAAAAUUUUCCUAAUAAUGUGCAUAACUUGGCAUUGUAGUGCUAAUUUGGUAUUGCAUUUGAUUUCUACUUUUUGGUUUAUUGCUUAUAAAUGUGAUGAUAGGUCUUUUAAAAUGAAUGUUUUCCUUCCCCAACUAGAUUAGAUUGACUGUUUCUCUAGUUAGAUGGUAGUUUCGGACAACCAAAACUUUUUUUUUUUUUUUGCAGUACGCGGGCCUCUCACUGUUGUGGCCUCUCCCGUAGCGGAGCACAGGCUCCGGACGUGCAGGCUC